GGGAACCUGGCAUCCCCGAGGUCGGGAGGACGGGGUGGGGCUGCGGACAGGAGAGAUGGACGCCCGAGCGAGCCUUGAACCGAAAGUGAACCCCGGGAGCACCGACCUCCUGUAGUCCGGGGCUUUCUCUCUGAAGCCAAAAAUACCCCGGGUCAUAGUUUGCUUUUUCUUUUCUAAGUAGCCAUAUUUACAUAAAUCCCCACUGGAAAUUUCCACCUUUCAAGACUGACCGCUGUUUUUGGUGUUUCCAGAGGCUAAAUGAAGUCAGGGGAUUUUUACAAGUUGAAGUGACCCUCCCCCUCUGCCCAGGCAGAGAGAUGAGUUUGCUAACCCUCCCCUCCUCUAACCCCAGGCCAGCUGUGCCUAUCAAAGUACCCAGAGGGCUGGGCUGGGGGUCCCCAGGGAUGGGGCUGUGGUCCUGGAGUGGGGAAGUGGACCCCCAGGAGUGGGCAACCCCUCAGCCCUCAUCCCUGGGUAUUUCACCACCAAAGUUAAGCUCUAUCUUCAGAGUUCCCCACUUCCUCCUUUCCUUCCUUGGAAAUUCGGUUGCAAAUAUCACUACAUGGUGUAACCUUUAAAGAAAUGCUCCCCUUUUACCACAAAGACAAGAGAUGCUCAGUGUUGUGAGAGAACACACAAUUAGGCCUUGGGGAUUUUUAAGUCAACAUUAUAUGUACAAAAUCUACCCAAAAAGGAGAAAGCAGCUUAUCAAAACUGCCAACGGACUCAGAACUCUUAAUAGCACCUGAAACAAGACGCAAGGAGGGUGGGCACAACCUUUGGAAGAUACAGCCAUGAGGACACACCAGAAACUGGCUAGAACCAAGUAGGUCCAAGAUGGCGGAAGAUCCAACCUCCAGCGGACCAUGAGCCUCUCCAUAUGCUCAUUGUAAUAUGCACGCAUUAUGUGCAUUAUGCACUUAUGUGCUCAUG
This is a long non-coding RNA of Bos taurus (domestic cattle), 933 nucleotides long. The record is from Ensembl. NCBI's taxonomy places the organism in Eukaryota, Metazoa, Chordata, Mammalia, Artiodactyla, Bovidae.